This is an RNA transcript of Catharus ustulatus (Swainson's thrush), 8805 nucleotides long. It is a transcript of the gene named dedicator of cytokinesis 7, with no coding region annotated. The record is from RefSeq and is a predicted model, not a curated record. NCBI's taxonomy places the organism in Eukaryota, Metazoa, Chordata, Aves, Passeriformes, Turdidae. The transcript is spliced from 53 exons.
CUGCCCGGGCCGGCAGCGCGGAGCCCGCAGCGCGGCCAUGGCCGAGCGCCGCGCCUUCGCCCAGAAGAUCAGCAGGACCGUGGCAGCUGAGGUCAGGAAGCAGAUCUCAGGCCAGUAUGGAGGCUCCCCACAGCUCCUCAAGAACCUCAACAUCGGAGGCAGCGUCUCUCACCACACCACUGUGCCUCUCACAGAAGCUGUGGAGCCCGUGGACCUGGAGGAAUAUCUGCACACCCACCCUCUGGCCGUGGAGUCGGGGCCCCUGCGGGACCUGCUGGAGUUUCCCCACGAUGACAUCGAGGUGGUUUACGCGCCCCGCGAGUGCCGCACGCUCGUGUCGGCCGUGCCCGAGGAGAGCGAGAUGGAUCCUCACGUGAGGGACUGUGUCCGGAGUUACACGGAGGACUGGGCGAUCGUCAACAGAAAGUACCACAAGCUGGGAACUGGGUUCAAUCCCAACACCUUGGACAAACAGAAGGAGAGGCAAAAAGGGCUCCCCAAACAGGUCUUCGAGUCCGACGAAGCUCCGGAUGGCAACAGCUACCAGGAUGAACAAGAUGACCUCAAGCGCCGCUCAAUGUCGAUCGACGACACUCCCCGGGGCAGCUGGGCCUGCAGCAUCUUCGACCUGAAGAACUCCCUGCCCGAUGCCCUGCUCCCAAACCUGCUGGACAGAACCCCAAACGAGGAGAUUGACCACCACAACGAGGACCAGAGGAAGUCCAGCAGGCAUAAGGAGCUGUUUGCACUACACCCAGCACCAGAUGAGGAGGAGCCCAUAGAGAGACUCAGUGUCCCUGAAGUACCCAAAGAACACUUUGGCCAAAGACUCCUGGUGAAGUGUUUGUCCCUGAAAUUUGAAAUAGAAAUCGAGCCCAUUUUUGCAAGUUUGGCUUUGUAUGAUGUUAAAGAAAAAAAGAAGAUUUCAGAGAAUUUCUACUUUGAUUUAAACUCUGAGCAAAUGAAGGGAAUGCUUCGGCCUCAUGUCCCUCCUGCUGCUAUUUCCACCCUGGCCAGAUCUGCCAUCUUUUCUAUCACCUACCCAUCCCAAGAUGUCUUUCUAGUCAUAAAGCUGGAAAAAGUUUUACAGCAGGGAGAUAUUGGGGAGUGUGCAGAGCCUUAUAUGAUUUUUAAGGAAUCUGAUGCAGCAAAGAACAAGGAGAAGUUGGAAAAACUGAAAGGCCAGGCAGAGCAGUUUUGCCAAAGACUGGGGAAGUACCGGAUGCCUUUUGCCUGGACAGCCAUUCACCUCAUGAACAUUGUGAGCAGUGCUGGCAGCUUGGAGAGGGAUUCCACAGAAGUUGAAGUUGGCACAGGAGAACGUAAGGGGUCAUGGUCGGAGAGGAGGAAUUCCAGCAUCGUGGGGAGGCGUUCCCUGGAGAGGACCACGAGUGGGGACGAGGCUUGCAACCUGAGCAGCUUCAGACCAGCCACCCUGACAGUCACCAACUUCUUCAAGCAGGAGGGGGAUCGCCUGAGCGAUGAGGACCUGUACAAGUUCCUGGCUGACAUGAGACGUCCCUCGUCGGUGCUGCGCAGGCUCAGACCCAUCACAGCUCAGCUGAAGAUAGACAUAUCUCCAGCUCCAGAGAACCCCCACUACUGCCUGACCCCAGAGCUGCUGCAAGUCAAGCUUUACCCAGACAGCAGAGUCAGACCUACCAGAGAAAUCCUGGAGUUCCCUGCCAGGGAUGUCUAUGUCCCAAACACCACAUACAGGAAUCUCCUUUAUGUGUACCCACAGAGCCUUAACUUCGCCAACCGCCAGGGAUCUGCCAGGAACAUCACAGUGAAAGUGCAGUUCAUGUAUGGAGAGGAUCCCAGCAAUGCCAUGCCGGUCAUCUUUGGCAAAUCCAGCUGUCCUGAGUUUUCUAAAGAAGCGUACACAGCUGUGGUGUAUCACAACAGAUCUCCUGAUUUUCACGAGGAAAUCAAGAUCAAGCUUCCAGCCACUUUGACAGACCACCACCACCUGCUUUUUACUUUCUACCACGUCAGUUGCCAGCAAAAACAAAACACCCCCUUGGAGACUCCAGUUGGCUACACCUGGAUCCCCAUGCUUCAGAAUGGCCGGUUAAAGACAGGUCAGUUCUGUCUUCCUGUGUCCUUGGAAAAGCCACCACAGGCUUAUUCAGUGCUUUCUCCAGAGGUUCCCCUCCCUGGGAUGAAGUGGGUGGAUAACCACAAAGGGGUUUUCAAUGUGGAAGUUGUUGCUGUGUCAUCCCUGCACACUCAGGACCCUUACCUCGACAAGUUCUUUGCACUUGUCCAUGCUCUGGAUGAGCACAUGUUCCCUGUGCGAAUAGGAGACAUGAGAAUUAUGGAAAACAACUUGGAAAAUGAACUGAAGAGCAGCAUUUCAGCUUUAAAUUCCUCUCAACUGGAGCCGGUAGUGCGAUUUCUUCAUCUCCUGCUUGACAAACUGAUCCUUCUGGUAGUAAGACCUCCUGUCAUUGCAGGCCAAAUAGUUAACCUGGGCCAGGCAUCUUUUGAAGCGAUGGCAUCGAUCAUAAACAGACUUCACAAGAACUUGGAUGGGAACCAGGACCAGCAUGGCAGGAACAGCCUUCUUGCUUCCUAUAUUUAUUAUGUUUUUCGCCUCCCCAACACCUAUCCCAACUCACCAUCACCAGGUCCCGGCGGCCUGGGUGGCUCCGUGCACUACGCCACCAUGGCCCGGUCGGCCGUGCGCCCCGCCAGCCUCAACCUGAACCGCUCGCGCAGCCUCAGCAACAGCAACCCCGACAUCUCCGGCACCCCCACCUCGCCCGACGACGAGGUGCGCUCCAUCAUCGGCGCCAAGGGCUUGGACCGCUCCAAUUCCUGGGUAAACACUGGUGGUCCAAAAGCAGCCCCAUGGGGAUCCAACCCCAGCCCAAGUGCAGAAUCAACACAGGUGGUGUCUUCGGCUACGGAUCGAAGUUGUAAUCGUAUGUCUUCGCACACUGAGACGUCAAGUUUCUUACAAACAUUAACAGGACGAUUACCAACCAAAAAGCUUUUCCACGAGGAGCUGGCCCUGCAGUGGGUUGUGUGCAGCGGGAGCGUGCGGGAGGCGGCCCUGCAGCAGGCCUGGUUCUUCUUCGAGCUGAUGGUGAAGAGCAUGGUGCAUCAUCUGUAUUUUGCUGACAAACUGGACACGGCGAGGAAGAAUCGUUUCCCGGAGCGCUUCAUGGAUGACGUGACUGCACUGGUCAGCACAAUCGCUGGUGAUAUAGUCUCCCGCUUCCAGAAGGACACGGAAAUGGUGGAGCGGCUCAACACCAGCCUCGCGUUUUUCCUCAAUGAUUUGUUGUCCAUCAUGGACAGAGGAUUUGUGUUUCAUCUUAUUAAGACCUGCUACAAACAGGUUUCUUCAAAGCUGUAUAGCUUAUCAAAUCCAAGCAACCUGGCAUCUCUGAGGCUGGACUUCCUGCGCAUCAUUUGCAGCCAUGAGCACUAUGUCACCUUGAAUUUACCCUGCAGCUUGCUCACACCACCUGCAUCCCCAUCACCAUCUGUGUCUUCAGCCACUUCCCAGAGUUCUGGGUUCUCCACAAAUGUCCAAGACCAGAAGAUUGCAAACAUGUUUGAGUUGUCUGUGCCUUUCCGCCAGCAGCAUUACCUGGCCGGGCUGGUGCUCACAGAGCUGGCUGUCAUUCUAGAUCCUGAUGCAGAAGGUUUGUUUGGAUUGCAUAAGAAGGUCAUCAACAUGGUACACAACCUGCUGUCCAGCCACGACUCGGACCCGCGGUACGCUGACCCCCAGGUAAAGGCCCGGGUGGCAAUGCUGUAUCUACCUCUGAUUGGCGUGAUCAUGGAAACUGUGCCUCAGCUCUAUGACUUCACAGAGAGUCACAACCAGCGGGGGAGGCCGAGCUGUGUCACCGUGGACGAUUACGAGAGCGAGGGUGGCAGCAUGAUCAGCCAGACUGUGGCCAUGGCCAUUGCAGGGACUUCUGUCCCCCAGCUCACCAGGCCCAGCAGUUUUCUACUCCCUUCUUCGAGUGGCAGGCAGCACUCCACCUUCUCAACAGAGUCCAGCCGCAGCCUCCUCAUCUGCCUGCUCUGGGUGCUGAAGAAUGCAGAUGAGAGUGUCCUGCAGAAAUGGUUCACUGACCUGUCAGUGCUGCAGCUCAACCGCCUGCUGGACCUGCUCUAUCUCUGUGUGUCCUGCUUUGAAUACAAGGGCAAGAAAGUGUUUGAAAGAAUGAACAGUCUGACGUUUAAGAAGUCAAAAGACAUGAGAGCAAAACUUGAAGAAGCCAUUUUGGGCAGCAUAGGAGCGAGGCAGGAAAUGGUCCGAAGAAGUAGAGGACAACUGGAGAGGAGCCCUUCUGGGAGUGCCUUUGGAAGUCAGGAGAAUCUGAGAUGGAGAAAGGAUAUGACUCACUGGCGGCAGAACACAGAGAAGCUUGACAAAAGCCACAAACCAGCCAGAUCAAGAGCAGAGAUAGAACAUGAGGCACUCAUCGAUGGGAAUCUUGCAACAGAAGCCAACCUGAUAAUUUUGGAUACUCUAGAGAUAGUUGUACAGACGGUGUCCGUGACCGAGUCCAAGGAGAGCAUCCUGGGUGGGGUGCUCAAAGUGCUGCUGCACAGCAUGGCCUGCAACCAAAGUGCCCUUUACCUCCAGCACUGCUUUGCCACACAGAGAGCUUUGGUGUCAAAGUUCCCUGAGCUGCUGUUUGAGGAGGAGACAGAGCAAUGUGCAGACCUGUGCCUGAGGCUCCUGAGGCACUGCAGCAGCAGCAUUGGCACCAUCAGGUCCCACGCCAGUGCCUCCCUGUACCUCCUCAUGAGGCAGAACUUCGAGAUUGGCAACAACUUUGCCAGAGUGAAGAUGCAGGUGACCAUGUCCCUCUCAUCCCUGGUGGGGACAUCCCAGAACUUCAAUGAAGAAUUUCUGCGGCGUUCCCUCAAGACUAUUCUGACAUACGCUGAAGAAGAUCUGGAGCUUAGGGAGACAACAUUUCCUGACCAGGUCCAGGAUUUAGUGUUCAACCUCCAUAUGAUCCUGUCAGACACAGUUAAAAUGAAGGAGCACCAGGAAGAUCCAGAAAUGCUGAUUGACCUGAUGUACAGGAUUGCCAAGGGCUACCAGAAUUCCCCCGACCUGCGGCUGACGUGGCUGCAGAACAUGGCAGGGAAACAUUCUGAGAGGAGCAACCAUGCAGAGUCUGCCCAGUGCCUGGUGCACUCUGCAGCCCUGGUGGCUGAGUACCUGAGCAUGCUGGAGGACAGGAAAUACCUCCCUGUGGGCUGUGUCACGUUCCAGAACAUAUCUUCCAAUGUUUUGGAAGAAUCAGCAGUUUCUGAUGAUGUUGUGUCCCCAGAUGAAGAAGGAAUCUGUUCUGGGAAGUAUUUCACAGAAGCUGGUCUGGUGGGAUUGCUGGAACAGGCUGCAGCAUCUUUCUCCAUGGCUGGCAUGUAUGAAGCAGUCAAUGAGGUUUACAAAGUCCUUAUUCCUAUUCAUGAAGCCAACAGAGAUGCCAAGAAGUUGUCUGCUAUUCAUGGUAAACUGCAGGAAGCAUUCAGCAAGAUUGUUCACCAGAGUACUGGCUGGGAGGAUGGAAAGAGGAUGUUUGGCACCUACUUCCGAGUUGGUUUUUAUGGAACUAAGUUUGGAGACCUGGAUGAGCAGGAGUUUGUGUACAAGGAGCCUGCCAUAACCAAGCUGGCUGAGAUCUCCCAUCGGCUGGAGGGGUUUUAUGGAGAACGCUUUGGGGAAGAUGUGCUGGAGGUGAUCAAGGACUCAAACCCUGUGGACAAAUGUAAACUUGAUCCCAACAAGGCCUACAUCCAGAUCACCUAUGUGGAGCCCUACUUUGACACAUAUGAGAUGAAGGACAGGAUCACCUACUUUGACAAGAACUACAACCUGCGGCGCUUCAUGUACUGCACGCCCUUCACGCUGGACGGCCGCGCCCACGGCGACCUGCACGAGCAGUUCAAGCGCAAGACCAUCCUCACCACCUCCCACGCCUUCCCCUACAUCAAAACCAGGAUCAAUGUCAUCCACAAGGAGGAGAUCAUUCUGACCCCCAUCGAAGUUGCCAUCGAGGACAUGCAGAAGAAAACACAGGAACUGGCUUUUGCCACCCACCAAGACCCUGCAGACCCCAAGAUGCUGCAGAUGGUGCUGCAGGGAUCAGUAGGUACCACAGUGAAUCAGGGACCACUAGAAGUUGCACAAGUUUUCUUGUCUGAAAUCCCCAAUGAUCCAAAGCUCUUCAGACACCACAACAAACUCCGCCUGUGUUUCAAGGACUUCACAAAAAGGUGUGAGGAUGCCCUGAGGAAGAACAAGAGCCUGAUCGGGCCGGACCAGAAGGAAUAUCAGCGGGAGCUGGAGCGCAACUACCACCGGCUCAAGGAGGCUCUGCAGCCCCUGAUCAACAGGAAGAUCCCCCAGCUCUACAAGGCAGUGCUGCCUGUCACGUGCCACAGAGACUCCUUCAGCAGGAUGAGCCUUCGCAAAAUGGAAAUCUAAACGAGUUAAAAACCAAAAUAAAAAACAAAAAAAGCACUUAAAAAUUAAGGUUUUGAAAAGAAAAAGAGCCUUGUUAUCAGCGCUGGGAAUCAAAGAAGUUUUAUUGUGAAAUAAAACUUGGACUUCAUCCUGGACAUCCCACACACCUCUUCCUCCAUCAAAGUGUUCAGUGGCCAAAAAAAAUCAUUCUGAAUUGUCAAAUGUAGACUUCUCAAUGUUUGAAAAGAAAAAAAACCAAACCAUCAUGGCAGUGGUAUCCAGAGUAUUGGUGAUGAGCUGUAAACUUACCUGUUUUUUAAGGCAUUUUUAUGACUCAAAGGGCUCAGCAUCCUUGGGGAAAAGGUUCAGAGCAAGGUCAUUGGAGACUUCUCCCAUGCUCUGUUAUCCCAACAGCUCCACAUUGGAAGUGUUUUGUGUGCCAGGCUCUGAAAAGUUCCCUGGAACAGAAUAAUCCUGAAUCAGUUCUGUGUCAUGGGGUAGAACACAGGAACACCUGCAUGGAUUUUCCUGCACAAAGAGAACUCCAACCUUUUUAUGGAUAUUCCAUGGGAUGUUGACAAGGCCUUGGAGGUGCUACAGGAGUCAGGGAAGCUCAGAAUGGAAAAUAUUAAGGAAGGAGGGAACAGCUUUGGAAGAGAUUUACAGGAAGAGGCAUUGAAAAUAUUUACAGAGUGCAAACAAAUCCCAGGAGCCAUGGAAGGAUGAAACUUUAAUUUAUAACAGUCCUGCUCCAGGACAGGAGUUACAAACAACAAGUUCAGGGUGCUUGAGUGAAUAUCCCAAAAAUCCAGCCCCAGUCCCUCUCCCUGUGCCAGAGGAGGGGUUUUCAUUCAGCAUCUUCCAGCUGAGGCUGUUUUCUCUUCAGCUGCCACAAAGAAUCUCCUCCCAAGCUGUACUGGGAUGAUGGAAGGCAGCUGGCUCUUCCUUACAUCCUAUUUUGGUGUAAAUAUUGGGAUUUUGUUUCCUUGGAACACUCCUGAUGCUGCAGUUGAAUGAAAAAGAUGAACCAGGUGUGCAAAAAUAAACUUUCAUUUGCAGGCUGAAAUUCAGCAAAACUAAAAAAUUGCAUUCUGUGGUAGGAUUGGGCUGCCCUUGCAAGGUAAGAUUAUUGAUAUUUUUGUAAUGUAGCUUUUUCUUGGUUUGGACUCUGAAAUUAUUUAUUAUUAUGAUGCAAUGCUUUGGAAAAGGGAAAGUGUAUUUUGUCAUUGCAGAUUUUUUAUGCUGCAAAAUCAAGGCCUGCUCAACAAUCAGAGGUCAAACUUAACAUGGAAAAUACACUAAAAGAGAUUUUUCCUGACUUACUUCAGUGUUUAUACAAAAUUAUAAUAAAAGGUAGCAAAAACUAAGUAUUGCAGAAUUAACUAGGCAGAGGUUUUUAGGGGUUUUCUUGUAAAUAAAUUAAUUUGUAGAUCCAGGGUGUACUGAGAGCCUGCAGUAACACCUGAUGUCAUUCCAUCCAUCCUGGGACAGACUGAACAAUCCUCUUUUUGUGAGUCAUAUUUGUUAAGAUUUUAAUUACCAGUUUGAAGGAGUCACCUACAAUUCUCUGACAGAAAAUUUGGGAUUUUCAUCUCUAGUAUUUAGUGCAAAUGGUUUUGGUUUUGCAGUCAAAAGUACCUUCAGGUUAGGAGAUGCUGUCCAAGAACCAGCUGAGAACCACAGAAUGUAUUCUAAAAGCACUUUAAUUCUUUAAGAUCAUUUCCCAGCCUUUUUGUAACUGUUCCCAAAUCCUUUCCCCUCUCCAAACACAACAGGCUGAGCUGCUUGUCUCAGAUGCGGAUCAUAACUUUUUUAUUUUGUAUGUACAUUCUUAACAAAGCAUCAAAGCCCAAUGUUCUCCUUUCCCCACCUUUCAGUGAGCUCCAGGUACAAAUUAACUUCACUCAGGUCACCACUAAGUUCCCAACCACCCCAAACAGAGAUGCAGAUUUGAGGGCUUCACUCUUCAAAGUACAAAAUUAUUUUAAUUACACUCCACUCUGCCUCUGGGUUGAAGGAUUAAUCACACCUAUUUACACUUUGCUCAUUAACACCUAUGCACCAAGAUGCAAAUUAGACCAAUCAAACACUUCCAUCAAUUCAGUUCCCUCCAAUGCUCUGGACAAGCUUCCCAGACCCUUUUCAAGUUGAAAGGAGCAGGGAAGAACUGGAGCAGGAGAAUAAACCACGUCCAUUACCCAAAGACUAAAUAUGAAGUGUUACUUCCCAAGUUACAAAAAUACACAACUUCUGAUGAAAUUUGCUAGUUAAUAUACAUUUACUCCAGGGUAUGAAUACAAAUAACUUUUUUUAAAAAAAAAAAAAAGAAAAAGACACAAAAAAAAAAAAGAAAA